AUGAACCUGUGGUUCAGCCCAGUGUUGAGCAAGCCUCAACAAGAGGAACUGCCAGCUGAGAUUCUGGAUAUCACACCUAGAAAGGAGGAAGUACAUGUAGAGGAUCCAGUGAAUCGUGAUGAAGAAGAGGAGAAGGAUCCCUUUGAAGAUUCUGGCCUGGAAGCUGAUCUCCAGCAAUUGGCUCUGGCAAAGACUGGGGGUGAAGGUGGAGAUGGUCCUGAUGUGAGGGAGGAGUUUGCAUCAAAUACAGAGCCUGUUGAAAUGCCAGAAGCAGGUAUGUCAUCCAUUCAGAAAGUAAUUUAUGUGGUUUCUGUUUUUCAGAAUAUUAUAUCUUUACUAAUAUAGAGGGAACAUUACUAUUAUUUUAAUAAUAGAGUUCACAUAUUCUUUGAAAGAUAGUUCAGACCCCAGAUGCCUGAAUGCCUGACUUAGAGACUUUCAAAUAAAGAAACAGAGAGGAUCA
This 463-nucleotide long non-coding RNA is filed under the name Bos indicus x Bos taurus (hybrid cattle). RNAcentral's name for it is "lncRNA (ENSBIXG00000028781.1)". The record is from RNAcentral. Lineage: Eukaryota; Metazoa; Chordata; Mammalia; Artiodactyla; Bovidae.